RNAcentral lists this transfer RNA (70 nucleotides) under Danionella translucida. It matches the Rfam family "tRNA". From Rfam's summary of the family: Transfer RNA (tRNA) molecules are approximately 80 nucleotides in length. Their secondary structure includes four short double-helical elements and three loops (D, anti-codon, and T loops). Further hydrogen bonds mediate the characteristic L-shaped molecular structure. tRNAs have two regions of fundamental functional importance: the anti-codon, which is responsible for specific mRNA codon recognition, and the 3' end, to which the tRNAs corresponding amino acid is attached (by aminoacyl-tRNA synthetases). tRNAs cope with the degeneracy of the genetic code in two manners: having more than one tRNA (with a specific anti-codon) for a particular amino acid; and 'wobble' base-pairing, i.e. permitting non-standard base-pairing at the 3rd anti-codon position. Lineage: Eukaryota; Metazoa; Chordata; Actinopteri; Cypriniformes; Danionidae. RNAcentral also lists the same sequence under 1 other name. The record is from Rfam by way of RNAcentral.
GCAUUGGUGGUUCAGUGGUAGAAUUCUCGCCUGCCACGCGGAGACCCGGGUCCGAUUCCUGGCCAAUGCA